This 281-nucleotide ribosomal RNA is filed under the name uncultured bacterium. RNAcentral's name for it is "partial 16S ribosomal RNA". It matches the Rfam family "Bacterial small subunit ribosomal RNA", at positions 524 to 797 of the family's 1533-position model. The record is from RNAcentral.
GACGGAGGGAGCUAGCGUUGUUCGGAAUGACUGGGCGUAAAGGGCGCGUAGGCGGUUUUUUAAGUGAGGCGUGAAAGCCCUGGGCUUAACCCAGGAGGUGCGUUUCAGACUGGAAGACUUGAGGACGAGAGAGGAAAGUGGAAUUCCUAGUGUAGAGGUGAAAUUCGUAGAUAUUAGGAAGAACACCAAGUGGCGAAGGCGACUUUCUGGCUCGUAACUGACGCUGAGGCGCGAAAGCGUGGGGAGCAAACAGGGAGUUAAGAAACCCCUUGUAACGUCGA